UCAGUUGAAUUCGUUGGUGCAGAGUAAGAGUAGCAAAUGAGUUGGGAGCUGGAAAAGGAAGAGAGGCAAAAUUUGCAACAGAAGUAGCAGUAACACAAUCAAUAGUGAUUGGAUUAAUCUUUUGGAUUUUGAUAAUAUUUUUCCACAAUGAACUUGCUUUAAUUUUCACAACAAGCAAACCUGUUCUUGAAGCUGUUCAUAAACUAGUUAUUCUCUUAGCUUUCACUGUUCUCCUCAAUAGUGUUCAACCAAUUCUCUCAGGGGUUGCUGUUGGAUCUGGCUGGCAAGCAUAUGUUGCAUACAUAAAUUUGGGCUGCUAUUAUUUACUUGGUGUCCCUCUGGGCUUUAUUAUGAGCUGGGGUUUCCACUAUGGUGUCAUGGGUAUAUGGGCUGGAAUGAUAUUUGGUGGAACAGCAGUUCAGACUUUGAUAUUGGCUAUAAUCACAAUUAGAUGUGAUUGGACUAAAGAGGUAACAUAUUUCUUUUGUUUACCAUUCUAUGUUCAAUUUUCAUUUUUUGCUCUUAUUAAUUCAAAUUCGUAUCGAAAAAUUUCAAUUUAGGA
Molecule: long non-coding RNA, 562 nt
Organism: Capsicum annuum
Lineage: Eukaryota; Viridiplantae; Streptophyta; Magnoliopsida; Solanales; Solanaceae
Exons: 3
Source: RefSeq, a predicted model, not a curated record